CCCUAUGGGGUGCAGCAGGCGCGAAAACUUGGCAAUGCGAGAAAUCGUGACCAGGGAACUCCAAGUGGCUGGGGUAAGACCCAGUCUUUUCUUGACUCUUCAAAGGUCUUGGAAUAAGGGGUGGGUAAGGACGGUGCCAGCCGCCGCGGUAAUACCGGCGCCUCAAGUGGUAGUCGAUUUUAUUGGGCCUAAAACGUCCGUAGCCUGUUUGGUACAUUCGUGGGUAAAUCAACCAGCUCAACUGGUUGAAUUCUGCGAGCACGGCCAGACUUGGGACCGGGAGAGGUGUGGGGUACGCUCAGGGUAGGGGUAAAAUCCUGUCAUCCUGAGCGGACCACCUGUUGCGAAGGCGCCACACUAGAACGGAUCCGACGGUCAGGGACGAAGCCUAGGGGCACGAACCGGAUUAGAUACCCGGGUAGUCCUAGGUGUAAACGCUGUGGACUUGGUGUUGGGGACUCUCCGAGAUUCCUCAGUGCCGAAGCGAAGGUGAUAAGUCCACUGCCUGGGGAGUACGGUCGCAAGGCUGAAACUUAAAGGAAUUGGCGGGGGAGCACCGCAACCUGAGGAUUGUGCGGUUUAAUUGGAUUCAACGCCGGAAAACUCACCAGUGCCGACGGACAAAUGAAAGCCAGUGUGAUGAGCUUGCUGGAUUGUUCGAGAGGAAGUGCAUGGCC
RNAcentral lists this ribosomal RNA (677 nucleotides) under uncultured archaeon. RNAcentral's name for it is "bacterial SSU rRNA". It matches the Rfam family "Archaeal small subunit ribosomal RNA", at positions 321 to 999 of the family's 1478-position model. The record is from RNAcentral.